GAUGAACGCUGGCGGCGUGCCUAACACAUGCAAGUCGAACGAAGACAUACCGACGGAAUCCUUCGGGAGGAAGAUGGUAUGGACUGAGUGGCGGACGGGUGAGUAACGCGUGGGUAACCUGCCCUGUACAGGGGGACAACAGUUAGAAAUGACUGCUAAUACCGCAUAAGCGCACAGUACCGCAUGGUACAGUGCGAAAAACUCCGGUGGUACAGGAUGGGCCCGCGUCUGAUUAGUUAGUUGGCGGGGUAACGGCCCACCAAGACGACGAUCAGUAGCCGGCUUGAGAGAGUGAACGGCCACAUUGGGACUGAGACACGGCCCAAACUCCUACGGGAGGCAGCAGUGGGGAAUAUUGCACAAUGGGGGAAACCCUGAUGCAGCAACGCCGCGUGAGUGAAGAAGUAUUUCGGUAUGUAAAGCUCUAUCAGCAGGGAAGAAAAUGACGGUACCUGACUAAGAAGCCCCGGCUAACUACGUGCCAGCAGCCGCGGUAAUACGUAGGGGGCAAGCGUUAUCCGGAUUUACUGGGUGUAAAGGGAGCGCAGGCGGUGCGGCAAGUCAGAUGUGAAAACCCGGGGCUCAACCCCGGGACUGCAUUUGAAACUGUCGGACUAGAGUGCCGGAGAGGUAAGUGGAAUUCCUAGUGUAGCGGUGAAAUGCGUAGAUAUUAGGAGGAACACCAGUGGCGAAGGCGGCUUACUGGACGGUAACUGACGCUGAGGCUCGAAAGCGUGGGGAGCAAACAGGAUUAGAUACCCUGGUAGUCCACGCCGUAAACGAUGA
This 786-nucleotide ribosomal RNA is filed under the name uncultured bacterium. RNAcentral's name for it is "bacterial SSU rRNA". It matches the Rfam family "Bacterial small subunit ribosomal RNA", at positions 28 to 812 of the family's 1533-position model. The record is from RNAcentral.